UUGAUGGUCUCAAUUUUAUUUGUACAUGGAUAACCGUGGCAAUUCUAGAGCUAAUACAUGCAAAAAGACCCGACUUCUGGGAGGGUCGUAUUUAUUAGGUAGAGAACCGACACGGGGUUAAACCCGUAGUUAUGGUGAAUCAUGAUAACUGCAAAAUUAUUUCUUGCGGAUCGCAUAGCCUUUUGAGCUGGCGACGCAUCAUUCAAAUUUCUGCCCUAUCAACUUUCGAUGGUAGGGUCGUGGCCUACCAUGGUGAUCACGGGUAACGGAGAAUUGGGGUUCGAUUCCGGAGACGGAGCCUGAGAGAUGGCUACGACUUCUAAGGAAGGCAGCAGGCGCGCAAAUUACCCAAUCCCAAUACGGGGAGGUAGUGACAAUAAAUACCAAUACGAGGUAAAUUAUACUUUGUAAUUGGAAUGAGCGCAGUGUAAACGACUCAGCGAGAAGCAAUUAGAGGGCAAGUCUGGUGCCAGCAGCCGCGGUAAUUCCAGCUCUAAUAGCGUAUAUUAAAGUUGUUGCAGUUAAAAAGCUCGUAGUUGGACUUCGGGGAUGUCGGAAAGAUUUUCCGGCGUGAAGCCGAGAAAGUUUUUCUGCUCCUCUCUUUUCGGAGUGCUCUCCUUUAUCG
This 625-nucleotide ribosomal RNA is filed under the name uncultured eukaryote. RNAcentral describes it as "bacterial SSU rRNA". It matches the Rfam family "Eukaryotic small subunit ribosomal RNA", at positions 121 to 722 of the family's 1831-position model. The record is from RNAcentral.